This is a long non-coding RNA of Quercus lobata, 1028 nucleotides long. RefSeq lists it as uncharacterized. The transcript is spliced from 4 exons. NCBI's taxonomy places the organism in Eukaryota, Viridiplantae, Streptophyta, Magnoliopsida, Fagales, Fagaceae. The record is from RefSeq and is a predicted model, not a curated record.
GCUUCUAUCUCUCAUUCAUACCCGAAAAUUUCAGCUAAAAUUUCUCCCCAAACGUAUUGGGUAACGCUUCUACCUCUCAUUCAUACCCGAAAAUUUCAACUAAAAUUUCUCCCCAAUUCUGAAAACCAAACCCUAUAACUAUUCUCCCCAACUCUGAAAAUCGAAAACUCAAAACACAUCUCUUCUCCACUUUUUUUCCUUCCCCCAAAUCGCAAAAUCUCCUCUCCCUAUCCUCCCACUCCGAGACCAUACAGGCUUAUACGGUUACCGAACCUCAAUGGAAAAUUCUUCGUUGAAUCUGCCUACCAUCUUGCAACCCAACUCACUGAUAUGCCAACCAUGAUGUUCGCUGGAAAAAGCUUUGGAUGUCAAAUACCCUAAAAGGAUUAAGAGAAUUACCUCCUCAGCUGCUUCGCUCAUAUCGAAGAGUGGUGUGGGCAUGGGAGGUUCAUGGACAAGAGAAUCGUCUAAUACAGGUUUCUUUUGAAUGUGCUGAUACUAUAUAGUUCAUCAAUAAGGCAAGGCCAUGGAUUACAUUGAUGGUCGUUGGCUGGGAAUAUGGUGCAAACAUGUUGACGAAGUACUUGGCAGAAGCUGGAGAGAAUACACCGCUUAUAGCUGCCACGUGCAUAGACAAUCCAUUUGACUUAGAGGAGGCUACAAGGUCCUCUCCUUAUCACAUGGCCAUUGAUCAGAAGCUCAUUGGUGGACUGAUAGAUAUUCUAAGAUCUAAUAAGGAACUAUUUCAAGACAAAGCAAAAGGGUUUGACAUGGAGAAGGCUUUAUUGGCAAAGUCUUUUCAUGAUUUUGAAAAAGCAAUAUCUAUGGUAUCUUAGCACAAGGGACGUGGUUGGGAAUGUGAGCAAGCAAAGGAAGAUUUAUAAAACUCAAUGUUUUAUGUUGAAUAAAUAUAUGAUGUACUCUUCUAUAUAAUGCAGAUUUGUUGUAUUAUGUUCUUUCUCUACUCUUUUUGAGUCAUAGCAAAAGAAUUUGACAUUGGUAACUAUAUUCUAUUUAUUUAUUAUGAA